CCUACGGGAGGCUGCAGUGGGGAAUAUUGGGCAAUGGAGGCAACUCUGACCCAGCAACGCCGCGUGAAUGAAGAAGGUCUUCGGAUUGUAAAGUUCUUUAAUUGGGGACGAAAAAAAUGACGGUAACCAAGGAAUAAGCCGCGGCUAACUACGUGCCAGCAGCCGGGGGAAUACGUAGGGGGCAAGCGGGGUUCGGGAUGACUGGGGGUAAAGGGUGUGUAGGCGGGGUGGCAAGCUAGAAGUGAAAUACCCAGAGCUUAACUCAGGUGCUGCUUCUAAAACUGGUAUACUUGAGUGCAGUAGAGGAAAGUGGAAUUCCUGGUGUAGCGGUGAAAUGCGUAGAUAUUAGGAGGAACAUCAGUGGCGAAGGCGACUUUCUGGACUGUAACUGACGCUGAGGCACGAAAGUGUGGGGAGCAAACAGGAUUAGAUACCCCAGUAGUC
This 444-nucleotide ribosomal RNA is filed under the name uncultured bacterium. RNAcentral describes it as "partial 16S ribosomal RNA". It matches the Rfam family "Bacterial small subunit ribosomal RNA", at positions 338 to 795 of the family's 1533-position model. The record is from RNAcentral.